This 502-nucleotide ribosomal RNA is filed under the name uncultured Glomus. Its description in RNAcentral is "SSU rRNA". It matches the Rfam family "Eukaryotic small subunit ribosomal RNA", at positions 569 to 1074 of the family's 1831-position model. Lineage: Eukaryota; Fungi; Glomeromycota; Glomeromycetes; Glomerales; Glomeraceae. The record is from RNAcentral.
AGCAGCCGCGGUAAUUCCAGCUCCAAUAGCGUAUAUUAAAGUUGUUGCAGUUAAAAAGCUCGUAGUUGAAUUUCGGGAUCAAUAUGUUGGUCGUGCCUUGGUACGUACUGGCAUUAUCGAUUCCUACCUUCUGAAGAACCUCGAUGUCAUUAAUUUGGUGUCUUGGGGAAUCAGGACUGUUACUUUGAAAAAAUUAGAGUGUUUAAAGCAGGCUCGCGCUUGAAUACAUUAGCAUGGAAUAAUGAAAUAGGACGUUUGAUUCUAUUUUGUUGGUUUCUAGGAUCGACGUAAUGAUUAAUAGGGAUAGUUGGGGGCAUUAGUAUUCAAUUGUCAGAGGUGAAAUUCUUGGAUUUAUUGAAGACUAACUACUGCGAAAGCAUUUGCCAAGGAUGUUUUCAUUAAUCAAGAACGAAAGUUAGGGGAUCGAAGACGAUCAGAUACCGCCGUAGUCUUAACCAUAAACUAUGCCGACUAGGGAUCGGAUGAUGUUAAUUUUUAAUGA